RNAcentral lists this ribosomal RNA (437 nucleotides) under uncultured bacterium. RNAcentral's name for it is "bacterial SSU rRNA". It matches the Rfam family "Bacterial small subunit ribosomal RNA", at positions 28 to 458 of the family's 1533-position model. The record is from RNAcentral.
GAUGAACGCUAGCUACAGGCUUAACACAUGCAAGUCGAGGGGUAGCACGGAGGAAGCUUGCUUCCUUGGGUGACGACCGGCGCACGGGUGAGUAACGCGUAUCCGACCUACCUCUUGCAGAGGGAUAGCCUCGGGAAACCGGGAUUAAAAACCUCAUAAUGCCAGUUUUAGACAUCUUUAACUGGCCAAAGAUUUAUCGGCAAGAGAUGGGCCUGCGUCUGAUUAGAUAGUUGGUGAGGUAACGGCUCACCAAGUCGACGAUCGGUAGCCGAACUGAGAGGUUGAUCGGCCGCAUUGGGACUGAGACAGGCCCAGACUCCUACGGGAGGCAGCAUGGGGAUAUUGGCACAAUGGAGGGAACUCUGAUGCAGCAACGCCGCGUGAGGGAAGAAGGUCUCGGAUUGUAAACCUAAGUUAUCAGGGACGAUUAUGACGGU